UCCAGAACAAGUUUCUGCCAACUGUGUGCUU
This 31-nucleotide non-coding RNA is filed under the name Mus musculus (house mouse). The record is from RNAcentral. Lineage: Eukaryota; Metazoa; Chordata; Mammalia; Rodentia; Muridae.